UUGUCGAAGCCGGUCAAAAAUAACCUUUCUGGUUAUCAACAAUUUACAACUGCAGAUAGUGGUGAAAGAAUCGAAUCCACAGAGAGUUGAUUACCUAUUUAUUUUUCUCAACAAGACCAAGAGAAUUAACUGGAAUAAUAAUAAACUAAAAAAAUGAGAUAAACACUGAAAGUGGGAUCAAAUGAGAUAAACCAAAAAUGAGAUAAAAAUAAAUUGCAAUUAAAGUAAAAGGGGGGUUUGAGAUUGAUUUAAUUAAUAAACUACUAAAAGCAAUUAAAAUAAACGAAUGAUAAAAUAAAAGAGAAAUAAAUAAUAAGA
This 318-nucleotide long non-coding RNA is filed under the name Manihot esculenta (cassava). RNAcentral describes it as "long non-coding RNA (MESC_LNC004729)". Lineage: Eukaryota; Viridiplantae; Streptophyta; Magnoliopsida; Malpighiales; Euphorbiaceae. The record is from RNAcentral.